GUGUCAGCCGCCGCGGUAAUACGUAGGGGGCUAGCGUUGUCCGGAUUUAUUGGGCGUAAAGCGCGUGUAGGCGGCUUGGUAGGUCCGCUGUGAAAGCCCGAGGCUUAACCUCGGGAGGUCGGUGGAAACCACCUAGCUAGAGUCCGGAAGAGGAGAGUGGAAUUCCCGGUGUAGCGGUGAAAUGCGCAGAUAUCGGGAAGAACACCCGUGGCGAAGGCGGCUCUCUGGGACGGUACUGACGCUGAGACGCGAAAGCGUGGGGAGCGAACAGGAUUAGAAACCCCCGUAGUCC
RNAcentral lists this ribosomal RNA (292 nucleotides) under uncultured bacterium. RNAcentral's name for it is "partial 16S ribosomal RNA". It matches the Rfam family "Bacterial small subunit ribosomal RNA", at positions 505 to 796 of the family's 1533-position model. The record is from RNAcentral.